UGAAGGACGUGCUAAUCUGCGAAAAGCGUCGGUAAGGUGAUAUGAACCGUUAUAGCCGGCGAUGUCCGAAUGGGGAAACCCAGUGUGAUUCGUCACACUAUCGUUAACUGAAUACAUAGGUUAACGAGGCGAACCGGGGGAACUGAAACAUCUAAGUACCCCGAGGAAAAGAAAUCAACCGAGAUUCCCCCAGUAGCGGCGAGCGAACGGGGAGCAGCCCAGAGUCUGAAUCAGCUUGUGUGUUAGUGGAACGGUCUGGAAAGUCCGACGGUACAGGGUGAUAGUCCCGUACACCAAAAUGCACAGGCUGUGAACUCGAAGAGUAGGGCGGGACACGUGGUAUCCUGUCUGAAUAUGGGGGGACCAUCCUCCAAGGCUAAAUACUCCUGACUGACCGAUAGUGAACCAGUACCGUGAGGGAAAGGCGAAAAGAACCCCGGCGAGGGGAGUGAAAAAGAACCUGAAACCGUGUACGUACAAGCAGUGGGAGCACCUUCGGGUGUGACUGCGUACCUUUUGUAUAAUGGGUCAGCGACUUAUAUUCUGUAGCAAGGUUAACCGUAUAGGGGAGCCGCAGGGAAACCGAGUCUUAACUGGGCGUUAAGUUGCAGGGUAUAGACCCGAAACCCGGUGAUCUAGCCAUGGGCAGGUUGAAGGUUGGGUAACACUAACUGGAGGACCGAACCGACUAAUGUUGAAAAAUUAGCGGAUGACUUGUGGCUGGGGGUGAAAGGCCAAUCAAACCGGGAGAUAGCUGGUUCUCCCCGAAAGCUAUUUAGGUAGCGCCUCGUGAACUCAUCUUCGGGGGUAGAGCACUGUUUCGGCUAGGGGGUCAUCCCGACUUACCAACCCGAUGCAAACUACGAAUACCGAAGAAUGUUAUCACGGGAGACACACGGCGGGUGCUAACGUCCGUCGUGAAGAGGGAAACAACCCAGACCGCCAGCUAAGGUCCCAAAGUCAUGGUUAAGUGGGAAACGAUGUGGGAAGGCACAGACAGCCAGGAUGUUGGCUUAGAAGCAGCCAUCAUUUAAAGAAAGCGUAAUAGCUCACUGGUCGAGUCGGCCUGCGCGGAAGAUGUAACGGGGCUAAACCAUGCACCGAAGCUGCGGCAGCGACACUAUGUGUUGUUGGGUAGGGGAGCGUUCUGUAAGCCUGCGAAGGUGUGCUGUGAGGCAUGCUGGAGGUAUCAGAAGUGCGAAUGCUGACAUAAGUAACGAUAAAGCGGGUGAAAAGCCCGCUCGCCGGAAGACCAAGGGUUCCUGUCCAACGUUAAUCGGGGCAGGGUGAGUCGACCCCUAAGGCGAGGCCGAAAGGCGUAGUCGAUGGGAAACAGGUUAAUAUUCCUGUACUUGGUGUUACUGCGAAGGGGGGACGGAGAAGGCUAUGUUAGCCGGGCGACGGUUGUCCCGGUUUAAGCAUGUAGGCUGGUUGUCCAGGCAAAUCCGGAUAAUCAAGGCUGAGGUGUGAUGACGAGGCACUACGGUGCUGAAGUAACAAAUGCCCUGCUUCCAGGAAAAGCCUCUAAGCAUCAGGUAACAUCAAAUCGUACCCCAAACCGACACAGGUGGUCAGGUAGAGAAUACCAAGGCGCUUGAGAGAACUCGGGUGAAGGAACUAGGCAAAAUGGUGCCGUAACUUCGGGAGAAGGCACGCUGGUGUGUAGGUGAAGUCCCUGCGGAUGGAGCUGAGACCAGUCGAAGAUACCAGCUGGCUGCAACUGUUUAUUAAAAACACAGCACUGUGCAAACACGAAAGUGGACGUAUACGGUGUGACGCCUGCCCGGUGCCGGAAGGUUAAUUGAUGGGGUUAUCCGUAAGGAGAAGCUCUUGAUCGAAGCCCCGGUAAACGGCGGCCGUAACUAUAACGGUCCUAAGGUAGCGAAAUUCCUUGUCGGGUAAGUUCCGACCUGCACGAAUGGCGUAAUGAUGGCCAGGCUGUCUCCACCCGAGACUCAGUGAAAUUGAACUCGCUGUGAAGAUGCAGUGUACCCGCGGCAAGACGGAAAGACCCCGUGAACCUUUACUAUAGCUUGACACUGAACAUUGAGCCUUGAUGUGUAGGAUAGGUGGGAGGCUUUGAAGCGUGGACGCCAGUCUGCGUGGAGCCAACCUUGAAAUACCACCCUUUAAUGUUUGAUGUUCUAACGUUGGCCCCUUACCGGGGUUGCGGACAGUGUCUGGUGGGUAGUUUGACUGGGGCGGUCUCCUCCCAAAGCGUAACGGAGGAGCACGAAGGUUAGCUAAUCCUGGUCGGACAUCAGGAGGUUAGUGCAAUGGCAUAAGCUAGCUUGACUGCGAGCGUGACGGCGCGAGCAGGUGCGAAAGCAGGUCAUAGUGAUCCGGUGGUUCUGAAUGGAAGGGCCAUCGCUCAACGGAUAAAAGGUACUCCGGGGAUAACAGGCUGAUACCGCCCAAGAGUUCAUAUCGACGGCGGUGUUUGGCACCUCGAUGUCGGCUCAUCACAUCCUGGGGCUGAAGUAGGUCCCAAGGGUAUGGCUGUUCGCCAUUUAAAGUGGUACGCGAGCUGGGUUUAGAACGUCGUGAGACAGUUCGGUCCCUAUCUGCCGUGGGCGCUGGAGAAUUGAGGGGGGCUGCUCCUAGUACGAGAGGACCGGAGUGGACGCAUCACUGGUGUUCGGGUUGUCAUGCCAAUGGCACUGCCCGGUAGCUAAAUGCGGAAGAGAUAAGUGCUGAAAGCAUCUAAGCACGAAACUUGCCCCGAGAUGAGUUCUCCCUGAGACUUUAAGUCUCCUGAAGGAACGUUAAAGACGAUGACGUUGAUAGGCCGGGUGUGUAAGCGCAGCGAUGCGUUGAGCUAACCGGUACUAAUGAACCGUGAGGCUUAACCUU
Molecule: ribosomal RNA, 2853 nt
Filed under: Klebsiella pneumoniae
Lineage: Bacteria; Pseudomonadati; Pseudomonadota; Gammaproteobacteria; Enterobacterales; Enterobacteriaceae
Description: bacterial LSU rRNA
Rfam family: Bacterial large subunit ribosomal RNA
Source: RNAcentral